Long non-coding RNA from Passer domesticus (house sparrow), 7208 nucleotides. RefSeq lists it as uncharacterized. The record is from RefSeq and is a predicted model, not a curated record. Lineage: Eukaryota; Metazoa; Chordata; Aves; Passeriformes; Passeridae. The transcript is spliced from 3 exons.
AUUGUCUGAAAGAAAGGAAGAAAGGAGAACAUUAACUUAAUCUCAAAUAAUUAUGUUCUCUCAACAAAGGCUUUCAAGCCUUUUCAGUCAACUUUACCAAUUUCUUGAAAUACAAUACUGAGAACAGGUAUAGAAUUCCUAAUAUUAUUUUCUGUACAGAUAUGUAUGUCAACUGCAACUGGCAAUGAGAUAAGAAAUAGCCAUACAUUAGUUCUCCUGCACAUUCCAAUGUACAGUAUAUGCAGGUGGAUGGCAGAUAAGAAGUUCAAUCACAAUGAAUGCCCAAAAGAAAUGUAACUCAGGGGAGAGCUGAAAGAAAGGACAAGCAUUUAAAAAGGCAAAAGUUAGUAACAUAGGAGUCUAAUAAGAUGGAAUUAUCAGAGUAUUCAAGGUGUUAAACUUUUUUACACAUUGCAAGAGAAGAGAUAAUAUGAAAAGCAAGUUUCUGGUAUUGGUAAAAAUCUCUUGUCUAUACAAACAUGAUUCCUGAAUCAGAGUUUAACUAGAAGUCUCUAAAACUAACUGUCAUACAGAUGACAGGGCAAGAUCUUGUCUAUAAGAGUUAAAAAAAAUUUAAAAUUAAAAUAAAAAAAGUAUACUGAGCAUCAUCCAAUUUAAUGAUAUGUCCUAUUCAAUUCUUUUGUUUGGCACCAGCAGCAGAGAAACACUCAUUAGCAAAUGUGUACUGAACACAGAAAUGGGAAUAGCCAUUUAUUUAAAUGCUGAAAAAUAUCCCUGUAGCUGCAGGGCUGGCAGUUUCAUUGGCACCUUGAAAACACUCUCAAAAAAUUCUUACUGCAAAGGGAAAAAAGACCUUCACACUACAAAUGAUCAUUACCAUUUUAAGAACUUCAGCAUUGAUUCAUGUGUGGCAGUUUUUAUAGUCCCCAGCCUUCGGUUCAUUUUCAAUCUGCUGCUCAGUUCAAGAUUCCUCUGUUGCUGAGAUUAAUGAAAUUUCUUAUAAAUCAGCCAAAAGUGAAGUCUUAGAAAUUACAGCAAGCUUAAAGCAUAUUUAUAACCCAGAGCACCCAGAUGGAUAGUACAUAUAUAUUCAGUAAAACAAAAUACCAUAAGGCAACGGUUUUCCACUCUAGGCUCCAAACAGAUUCAUUUUUUGUAAAAAAUAGAAACCCUUCUUUUAAAAAAGCCCAAAAAAAACCAAACCAAAAAACCACCAAACCAGGAAAAUAUAUUAAGUUUCAUCUCACAGCAAUUGAUUUAAUGAAACACUUUUUUUCUCACUAUAUAUUCAGACAAUGUGUUUUUGAGAAUUCAUUUCUGCAUUUUUAAAAAACCUGUUAUAAAGUUCAGAGGUAGCAAGUGUUCGCAUCUCAUUUUUAAUAAUUUACUGCAGAAAAAGCCAAUAUAAUGGUUAAAAACCUGUGAAGGGAACUAGAAAGUCUGGGCUGUAUCUGUAUGUUUGAUCUCUUUAUAUGUGCUAUUUAUAAAACAUCGUUCUUGUUAUGAAAAAUUCAUGAAAGUAAUGUGUUUUGCAACCUUGAGCAAGUCACUUCUCUCUCUGAAACUUACAAUUCUGUCCCAUGGCUCUGGAGAACCCUGUGGCAGUAGUGUUAGGUGUUACUGCUCCCACCCUUCUAUCCCUUCCCUCUGCCAACAGCUGCACUCCUGAACAUCAGCUUCAUGGGUUUAGGAUAAUGUACUUGACUAGAUGAGGGGGUCUCUGCUCUACACACCUUCCUUUUCACUGCAGGACCACAAGGUCACUUAUCUCUUCAGAGGUGCUGAACAGGAUAUGUGGAGGAACACUCUAACCACUAAAAUUCAAGGUUGCUUUCAAAAUCCAUCUGCAGUAAAGCUAUAUUCAAAAAGCAGAUGAAAAGGUCAUAGUUCCCAUCUUUCUUACACAGUUAUGAAGAAAAACCUGCUGUUAUGGUCAAAAGAAUUCUAUUAGAGGCUAAUAUCAAUUUUAGGGUUCUUAAUUAAGACCUCUGAUUAAUGAAUUUUUUUUUUUUUUUGCAAUAAUUUGUUUUUCUUUAUCAUUUUCAAAAUUCUUCUAAAACUUAUACUCUAAGGACUUGGACUGAGUAAUGAAUUCCAUUAACAAGUAAUAAAACAGGCACAGAAACAACUAAUUAUUUUACCAUUGCAUUGGUGCAAUACUUUUGUCUUCACUGAAAGUGGGAUGAGAACUCAGCCUGCUAUGUCUGCCUUCAGAGCUGCCAGUUAUCCUUGUGUACAAGACUGCUGAGGCACAGGCAGCACGUGGGGCUUGCAGAGGCACAGGAAUCUUCUCAGACCAAUCCAGUACUAAAGGCCAGCUUUGUAGGAUGCCAUAUAAUUCCUCUACCUUUCUUUUUGUGAUUGUCUGGUCUCAAUCUUGUAUCCUGGAUUCCCUGAAGGACCAGGAAAACUACAACAUUUAUAGAACAAAAAAGUACAGAGAAAUAAGAAAGGCCAUGGGUGAGCAAGCACCUUCAAUGUCAGGCUGUGCAUACACCAAGUCCCUUCAGCUGCUCUUUUCUAGCCUCCAUGAAGCUGAUGAUCUCAAGCCAUGCUGCAAGUACUCCAAGGCACUUUCGUCCUGUUCCAAUUACUUGAACUUGAGGGUAUCUCCCAACAUUUCCUUUACCUAGUUCUUCAUCCAGAAAAUCUUCCCUUUCCAUCACUACACAUACGCUCCAUGGGGGAAAAAAAUCAUUUGAGUACAUUAUUAAAACAAAUAAAUUAUCUAGUUAUGAGACUGAUCAGUAAAUGUUGUCUAACCCAAACCAAAGUGUUUCCAUGUCUCUGUUGCAAAAAGAUUUUUGAAAGAAAUGCUUUUAUCUUCUAAUGAUAAAUUCCCUAUAUCCUUCCUAUUUUUGGUUAUUGACUGAAACAAUGAAUCAUUCACAUAGAACAGCUUUUCCUUGAACUGAAGGCCAAAAUUGCCUGUGGCUUUUACAUUUACUGUUCUUCCUAGUCCUGUCCUAUGGAUAUCUCAAUCAAACAUAUGCCUCAGUACAACCAUCUAUCAAAGACCUCCAGGGAAAUCUGACACUGUCAGGUUUCUGAAAAAUUCAUAUCUGUGCAUACUUCAAAUACAAGUUUGGUUACUGACUAAUUGAUAGCUUCUCUGAGUCUAUAAUUCUGAAGACAGGACCACCAUUUUGUGAUAUGUGAAUACAAAGUUUUAGAUAUGUUUUCACACUCAUUGGUAUGUUUGAUCUUUCUGUGUCUAAACCAUAUCUUACUUAAUAUACAAGUACAGAAUAUCUAUAUUGUUAUCCCUCUGCAACAUUUUCCAGGAGGCAGUGAGAGCAAAUCUUAGUUUUGCAUCCACCACUUGAUUUAACUUUGGAAUUAAUUUAUAUUACUUGACUUUUUGCCCUGUCCUUUGUUAGUAAAGGAAGCAAAAUGAAAUUUUAAGGACAAGACCACACUAAGUGGAUUUGGUGCUGCUAAAGUACAGGCAAGAUGAUGAUCCAAAAAUGUGACCAUGACCAACAGAAAAUAUAUUAGGAAAUACAUUGCUAGUCCUCACUUCCAGCUGCCGAGGUUUGCAUGAGGCUGACAUACAGCAAUAAGAUUCCUGGUGGCUGGAAGAAUGUAGUAAAAAGAUCCUUUCUUUUGUACUGGUUGUUUUCCAGAGCUCAGAGCUUAAAUAUUCAGGGAGUCUUGGUGCAGGUAUUUCAUAUCAGGGCAAUUUUAAAUCAUAAAUGUCUUGGAAAUGCCCUGGGAAAAAAAUUUAGCCAUCACAAAAUCACAGUGGAAAAUUAAUUUAAAGCCUUGAAGGGUGUUAUGGAAAUAUUUUAAUGGGCUUUACAUAAAGAUCCAUCUGGAGCUCUGUACUAGAGUUAUUUGCUAUUCAAUUCCUAUUUAUGCUAGAGACACCGAAGGUUUAGCUUUACAAGCCCACACAUGGAACACAGACCAUCAACCAGCAUCUUUAGUCUUUGUUGACACCUCUUUGUCUUCUAAGUAACUUUUUUUUAUUUUUCUAGUACCAAAAUAGCAACUCUACAGUCAAUUCAAUAUCACUAGUGCCCUCUGCUGUGUAGACUAAAAAUUUAGUUUAAAAUGUUAAGAAUUUCCUUACUGCACAGUCAGUUCCCCAGAUACAGUACAAUUAUGAAAUGUGUUUCCAAACAUGACCUUAAGUCUGUCGGUGGCACUGCUCUAAUUACCACAGCAUAUAUCAUCUGCUUUUUUAGCAGUAUAUUCUGUAAUGUAUAUUCUCUUUAUGGCCAUGGAGACAUUCCCAGACAUAUAUGGAGAGCUGUUCAUUUGGUUUUCUAUUUUCACAGAAAUAAAAACCUUUUUUGGAAAUCGGCAUUUGAUACGCAUGUUCUCAUCUCUAUAGCUUAUCUGGCUCUCUGUUACUCUCGAUGUACUACACAUUUUCCUCGGAGCUAAAAGCACUGCCCUCUUAAGAUCCAGUGCAGAAGACGAAGCAAGGGAUGACAGAACUAAUCUACCUCUGCAGCUAUGCACAGUGCAACUUUCCAACUUUCUUUAGGGACAGCUUGGAGUAUGCUGUGGUUACCCAAUUGAAUGGAACUUUGCCAAAUGUGUAUGCAGCGGUAGAGGUACCUUCUUUAUGCUUUAUGGGCCAGGAGAAAGUGACUGUGCUCCCUCUGGUUGCUGAAGGAUUUUUUCUGUAAUGGGGGUCUUUGAUAACAAAAGAGAACUUCCACAACAUUUCCAAAGAUCUGCCUAAUGAGGAACUCUGAAUGCUCCAAGGGCCUGAGACUGAUCCCCUUUUGGCAGCAAUGGCAGCAGAAGCAGCCAAGGGAAUUUCAGUGUAGAGACACGCACACAAUAUGCUUUAGCUCCACCAAGUACUGAAACACACAAGGGUUAGUCUUCGUCCCAGAAUAGAGACUGAACUGUGGGCAGGGAGCUCCACCGGGGUCAGAAAUGCUCUGCCAACAUCUGCUCUGCAAAUGCUCCAGCAGCCUCACAUGUGUGUCCCCAUAUGGCUGUGCAGGGUUGGGCCGAUGGAACCACAUUGCCAGGGAUUCACUCACCAUAAUCUCCUGCCCACCUCACCUCCCCCCUUUUCUCUCUGGAAAUACCUUUCCACCUGGCUGAACCCUCAAGGACUUGAGCUCUCAGUUCAAGAGCAGUGCAAGCAGCUUGCAUUCUGUUCCUUGCCCCUACACAGUACAAUGACACCAAUCUCUUCUUCCAUGGGAUGCUUUUGUCACUAAAAAAGGAACACGUGCUAUGCUCUUAACAGACAACUACAAAACAUCAUCAUGCAAAAUCAGUGAAAUGGUUUAUAGCAGGUUUAUAAUUUUUAAAUGGUUUCCUUUUUCUAAUCUUAUUUUUUAUUUCUUCAUGGGUUUCUUCCUGUCAGAUAUGUUUGGCUUUUUUAGAACAGACUGAUCUACAAUGAAACCCCAUGCCUAUGACUAUAGAACUGGGUAACUUUAUCUACAUUGCUAAAAAUCAGUUUUCCCUUUUCACUUCUAUAGGACUUUAAAAGUCUUAACAACAGUUAAGGGAGCCAUUGCAAUAAAGUCUAAAGUCUUGUUAGGUUUCAAAACCCAGCAGUUUUUAUCUAUUUGGUUUUUUUAUUUUAUUUUUAGUUAAAUACAGUGAAAGCCAAAACAGGCUAGAUAGGCAGCCCUGCAAUGCAAACUGAUUACUCAUGAGACCAGACAAAUCAAAACACUCACAAUGCAAAUUAUUCUCCUCUUGGCAUGUUUCACUGUUUUGCUCUGGGACAUAGUUCUGUGCCCCCUUGAAGCAUUUAAGUGUAAGAGGCAGAGUGGAUAUUGCUGUACCAUAGAUACUUCCUAGCUCUCUCCUGCAAGCCUUUUAAGACUCAACUGAAUCACUAAGACACUGAUCUGAAAGACCUAAAUGUGAUUGGACACAUUCAAUCCUCCUGAAUCACCACUGAUUUCAGGGGAGUUCAAUCAAGGGUGAGUUUGACCCAGUCUGUCUUUUUCUUCUUGUCUUUCAUUUUUUUUUAUACAGAAAACAGUUUUAUUUCACCCACCUAAUUUUCCAGCAUGAUUUAAUGCUUCCUCUCUCAUUUCUUCCUAAGGUUUAAAAUUUUCUCUUUAACAUCAGGUAAAACAAAUUAACAUGAAAUAAACCUUUUAAAAAUGAGAAUUUGAGUGCACAUUGGUCCAAGCAAAAAUAUUUGCAUUUUAGCUAAAAAUUAAGAUAUUUCACAAUGCUUGAACCUCAAUCAGUCUGGUAUUUCUCUUUAUUUAUAAAUAUAAUUUUACUCUUAAGCAUCGUUCGCAGUUUGUAUCCUCAGUAAAACUAAUUUCACAGGAAAAUCAUAGAAAACAUCAGAUAAUAUGUAAUGAAUGUUUCUUAAGGACAAACUUAGAUAUCUUAAGAGGAAUUAUAUUACUUCUUUGUUGUCUUCUCCCUGGAUGCCACUCCAGGGAGUCACUCCAAAGGUGAUGAGGACAGAACAAUCCCAACUUCUCUGUUCAGACUGUUCACAGUUGUAUGAAUAGGAGCAAUCUAUGAGCUAUUCACAAUUAGCUAAAAUACUUUCAUAAAAGCCACCACAAUACAGCUUGGUUCUAGUGCACCCAGAAACAUUCUAGAAUUUUAAUUGGAAUUAACUUUUAAGUGGGUUAAUUCUAUUGCAUUAAAUCUUAGUGUGGACAUUCUUAUUUAGAAUUUAAUUUAACCUAAAUUGAAUCAAGGCCACUGUAACUUCAAUUAAGAGUGUCCAUAAAAGAAUGUAAUGUAGUUUAGCUAGUCCCUUUUCAAAGUUAAUUUGGAUUCAUUUUCUUGAGACCCCUUAUAGACAUUAGGAACUUUUGUUCUGUAUUGACUUGGGCUUGAUUCAAACCAAUUACAUAAAGGUAAAAAGGUUUUCUACCUCAUCACUGAUCCCCCUGGGUUACUGAAGUUCCAUUUUGCUUCCCUAAUUCAGUUGAUUAAAUACAUUUUCUCUGUCAUUUUGUUGUUUGUUUCAUCUCAUACCUCCUUCUGGACAGAUAUUUAUGUAGGGGAAAACAGGCAACUGAACAAUAGAAAUUUUACAAUAGCCUGAUAAUAAAAUUAUCUUAAUUACAGAAGUCUGUCAUGGUACCUCAUGUGCCAACCAUGAUAUAAGAGGAAGUCAGAGAAACACCUUCAAGAUUUCCGUCUCUUAUGGCAGAAAUAUCUUAGUGAGCAAUAAUUAAAUAGCACUAUUUCUAUAACUAUGCUUUCUUAAUUACUUUUUCAUUCAUUAUCAAACUAAAAUCACAGAUCCAUAUUAGGAAGGCAUUUGAGAGCCACAACAAAAU